UACGAAGGGUGCAAACGUUGCUCGGAAUCAUUGGGCGUAAAGCGCACGUAGGCGGCUUCAAAAGUCGGAUGUGAAAUCCCGUGGCUCAACCAUGGACGUGCAUUCGAAACUGCGAAGCUUGAGUAUGGAAGAGGGUCGCGGAAUUCCCGGUGUAGAGGUGAAAUUCGUAGAUAUCGGGAGGAACACCAGUGGCGAAGGCGGCGACCUGGGCCAAUACUGACGCUGAGGUGCGAAAGCGUGGGGAGCAAACAGG
This 253-nucleotide ribosomal RNA is filed under the name uncultured bacterium. Its description in RNAcentral is "partial 16S ribosomal RNA". It matches the Rfam family "Bacterial small subunit ribosomal RNA", at positions 524 to 776 of the family's 1533-position model. The record is from RNAcentral.